GUUUAAAUAGCUUAAAUUUGAAAGCGUGAUAUUGAAGAUAUUAAUAUAAGUGAAUACUUUUUAAACA
Molecule: transfer RNA, 67 nt
Filed under: Pilophorus typicus
Lineage: Eukaryota; Metazoa; Arthropoda; Insecta; Hemiptera; Miridae
Description: tRNA-Phe
Source: RNAcentral